Molecule: non-coding RNA, 114 nt
Organism: Favolaschia claudopus
Lineage: Eukaryota; Fungi; Basidiomycota; Agaricomycetes; Agaricales; Mycenaceae
Source: the annotation of a GenBank genome assembly
ACACCAAUGGUGAAGCGGUUAUCAUGCUUGCCUUCCACGAAAAUUCUCACGUGACUCACGUGAUUAAAACGUGACUUGUAGCAAGCGGCAGGGGUUCGACUCCCCUUUGGUGUA